Molecule: ribosomal RNA, 274 nt
Filed under: uncultured bacterium
Lineage: Bacteria
Description: partial 16S ribosomal RNA
Rfam family: Bacterial small subunit ribosomal RNA
Source: RNAcentral
CUACGGAGGGGGCUAGCGUUGUUCGGAAUUACUGGGCGUAAAGCGUACGUAGGCGGACUGAUCAGUUGGGGGUGAAAUCCCAGGGCUUAACCCUGGAACUGCCUUCAAUACUGUCAGUCUUGAGAUUGGAAGAGGUGAGUGGAAUUCCUAGUGUAGAGGUGAAAUUCAUAGAUAUUAGGAGGAACACCAGUGGCGAAGGCGGCUCACUGGUCCAAUACUGACGCUGAGGUACAAAAGCGUGGGGAGCAAACAGGAUUAGAUACCCUAGUAGUCC